UGGUUCUGGCGUCGAUGAAGAACGCAGCGAAAUGCGAUAAGUAAUGUGAAUUGCAGAAAACAGUGAAUCAUCGAAUCUUUGAACGCACAUGGCGCUCUCUGGCAUUCCGGAGAGCACAUCUGUUCGAGCGUCGCAAACACAAGAUCGAACGUCUCUUGAUGUUCGGAGCUGGGCCGGUCGUCCGCGGAGGACGCGCCCGAAAAAGAGCGGCAGGUUGAGCGAAGCCCCCAGCGCGUUGACAUUUAAUUUCGCUGAAGGCGGUUCCAAUCGGCCUUGCAGUCAAAAUCUGGCGCGCUUACUGCGUUUGCCUUUUUUUCCACAAAUCGACCUCGGAUCAGAUGGGAAUACCCGCUGA
Molecule: unclassified non-coding RNA, 355 nt
Filed under: uncultured fungus
Lineage: Eukaryota; Fungi
Description: partial contains 5.8S ribosomal RNA and internal transcribed spacer 2
Rfam family: 5.8S ribosomal RNA (bases 1-133)
Source: RNAcentral